This 792-nucleotide long non-coding RNA is filed under the name Nicotiana tabacum (common tobacco). Its description in RNAcentral is "long non-coding RNA (NTAB_LNC001116)". The record is from RNAcentral. Lineage: Eukaryota; Viridiplantae; Streptophyta; Magnoliopsida; Solanales; Solanaceae.
CAGUUUAGGGUUUAAAACCCUAAUGCUGGCUGGAAGAAAAAGUUCAGUUGAGGAUUUAAAACCCUAAUGCUGACUAAAUGGAAAAUUCAGUUUAGGGUUUAAAACCCUAAUGCUGAUUGCAUGGAAAAGCUCAGUUUAGAGUUUAAAACUCUAAUGCUGGCUGAAAGGAAAAAGUUUAGUUUAGGGUUUAAAACCCUAAUGCUGACUGCAUGGAAAAGCUCAGUUUAGAGUUUAAAACUCUAACGCUGGCUGAAAGGGAAAAGUUCAGUUUAGGGUUUAAAACCCUAAUGCUGACUAAAAGGAAAAUUUAGUUUAGGAUUUAAAACCCUAAUGCUGAUUGCAUGGAAAAGCUCAGUUUAGAGUUUAAAACUCUAAUGCUGGCUGAAAGGAAAAAGUUCAGUUUAGGGUUUAAAACCCUAAUGCUGACUAAAAGGAAAAUUCAGUUUAGGGUUUAAAACCCUAAUGCUGAUUGCAUGGAAAAGCUCAGUUUAGAGUUUAAAACUCUAAUGCUGGCUGAAAGGGAAAAGUUCAGUUUAGGGUUUAAAACCCUAAUGCUGACUAAAAGGAAAAUUCAGUUUAGGGUUUAAAACCCUAAUACUGAUUGCAUGGAAAAGCUCAGUUUAGAGUUUAAAACUCUAAUGCUGGCUGAAAGGAAAAAGUUCAGUUUAGGGUUUAAAACCCUAAUGUUGACUAAAAGGAAAAUUCAGUUUAGGGUUUAAAACCCUAAUGCUGAUUGCAUGGAAAAGCUCAGUUUAGAGUUUAAAACCCUAAUGCUGGCUGGAAGAAAAAGUU